CGGGGCGGGGCUCAGAGGGCCGCCGCGGGGCGCCGCGCACGGCAAAGGCACGGUCCUCCGUCACGUCGAGCUUGGAGUUUGAACCUAGAGGACCUGCGAUGGUGGCACGUGACUCUGCCAGUGGGAACGCCUGACGCAGGAGAACGUGGUCGGGCAGCGCCGCGCACUACGACUCCCAGCAUGCCCCGCGUGGGCGGGCCUCAGCGCGCCGGCGCUGUCCAGUCCCGCGGGGGCCGACGGGAGGUGCGGUGGCCAGGGUGGGGAAGGAACCGGGCCGCCGGGAGAUGUGUCUGCCCGGGCCGCUGGGGAGUGGAGUUCGCCGACGCCCGCUGUGGCCCAUGGCAGCGUUGGGUCUGCGCCGUGAGGGAAGUGUGUGCAGACUCGCCGCGGCCUCCUCGGCGUGUGGCCCAGUCCCGCKCUCAGCCCGGCGCACCUCCGGGUCGGGUCCCCUUGGUCCCCGCGGCCGCAGCACCUCGCGCUAGGAGCGGACGUGCGCUGGGGGACCGACCGGCCCGCUAGGGUGGGAGGAAACCACUUCUCUGGCUGUGACCCGUGGUGGAGGGAACCUAGACGGCCGCCACGUCCACGUGCUGCAAAGAACCCGUCUGCGUCACGGGGUCGCUGCAGCACGCGGGGCCCGGAGAGGAAAUCCCGCAGCAAAGCCGGUGGCCGGGCACUCGGGGACAGACAGGUGGAAGAAAGGGACGUGCUGGGGGGGAGCGUCGCUGUGCUUUCCACUCCGCGUGGACUUAAAUUCAGGAGCCACCAGGAUAGAAGGACGUGUUGAGGCCACUCCCGUGCAGGGGCAGCCCAGACUCUGGAAGCCCCGUGGACGGAACUGGCACCCAGGUGGCCGAGCCCAGCGCCCGGAACCCUCCUGCCAUCGGCUGGCGCUCMCAGAGGACUGCCCGCCCAGUGUGGGCUUCGGCCGCGGAAGCCCCGGAGGGGCGCUUAAGCAGUUCGAAAAACGUGCCAAAUUCGCCUCUAUGUCAGAUUAUUCACAAGAUUUACUUUGAAAUCCUACACUUAUUAAAGGGAGGCUUGUGAUUUGUUUCCUAAGGUGCCAGUUGACUGUCAGCCCAAGGAAGAUUUCCCACGUAUUUAGCUGUGCACCGGCCACCCCGACAGUCCUCACCAACUCCCACUUUGCCGGCCUGAGAACCUUCCCACGGGCAGGCUAGCCCGGGUAAGACCGGCCCUCCACCGCUGAAUACACCCCUCUUACCAGGAAGCUUUUUGGAAUCCUGGGCACAAACUGCCAAUUAGCAGGACAGCAUAGGAGGAUGUCCGGUCACACCCUUGUGGGACCAGUUCACCACGGGGUUUAAUAGGAAUCCUGAAUUGGAUGGGUUCCAGUUUGCAGGCUACAUCUCUGCUCAUUGAAGUCAUUUACCAUUGGAUUCAACUUUUUCUCUUCUCAUUAUUGCUCCAAAGAUCAUUCCCUAGGUCCCCUGCAAGGCUCCCUGUUGAGCAAUGAAUAACCAGGUGCCUGUGUGUUUUCAUUCUGUUGGAGGCGUGUCURCAGGGCAGGUUCCCAGAGGGGCGACUGACAGGAUUUAUCAGCCACAUUGCUUUUGGACCUCCCUCUGGGGACUUGGCCAUCUCUCAGUUAAGAGCUUGGAAUGUGAAGACUGGUCCUGGCCAGAAUGGAGCAAGGAACGUGGCUUUUCAUUGGCUCACCAAACCUCGGCCUCCUGCUUCUCUGAACACUCUCUGUUUCAUAGACCCAGGGCCAGCUCCAGGACAGAAGUGCUGACCAUGGAGGAAGUGGCCUACGUGGAACCCUGCUGUUAAAGUGAAUGGGGCUUAUUUCAAGACARYAAGUUUCAAAAGCAUUGCUAGAGGGGACCCACCGUUGUCCUCCCUGUUCACAGCCUCUGCGGCCCUGUGACCUCCGCUCUUCCCUGAUGCUCKCUAUGCACUGGGGCUGGUUUGGGUCUUGGAAGUGUGGUCCAGUGCGGUGGGGCUGAGAUGGAAGAACCCAGUCCUGGAAGGUGGAGGAGUCAUAUGCACACGGCUCAAGGAGGGGAUGGAAUUCUGGUCUCGUAGGAUGAGUUACUUCUCAGGGGAGCAAGGUCACCCCGUGCUUGGUCCCUUCUUCAUGAGGCAGUUUCUCUUCCUGCUCCUCUCUCAUGCUGUGACAGCAGAACCUGAACAGGUGGUGGCCCCCGAUUUUGC
Molecule: long non-coding RNA, 2178 nt
Organism: Urocitellus parryii (Arctic ground squirrel)
Lineage: Eukaryota; Metazoa; Chordata; Mammalia; Rodentia; Sciuridae
Source: RefSeq, a predicted model, not a curated record